GCCAGCAGCCAUAUCACCCUGGAACUCACAACUGGCAACCCACUGAAGCUAAGCAGGUGUGAGCUUGGUCAGUACCUGGAUGGAGACCUCCUGGGAAAAACUAAGGUUGCUGCUGGAA
Lepisosteus oculatus (spotted gar) is the source of this 118-nucleotide ribosomal RNA. Lineage: Eukaryota; Metazoa; Chordata; Actinopteri; Semionotiformes; Lepisosteidae. The record is from Ensembl.